This 497-nucleotide ribosomal RNA is filed under the name uncultured bacterium. Its description in RNAcentral is "partial 16S ribosomal RNA". It matches the Rfam family "Bacterial small subunit ribosomal RNA", at positions 28 to 507 of the family's 1533-position model. The record is from RNAcentral.
GAUGAACGCUGGCGGCGUGCCUAAUACAUGCAAGUCGAGCGAACAGACGAGGAGCUUGCUCCUCUGACGUUAGCGGCGGACGGGUGAGUAACACGUGGAUAACCUACCUAUAAGACUGGGAUAACUUCGGGAAACCGGAGCUAAUACCGGAUAAUAUAUUGAACCGCAUGGUUCAAUAGUGAAAAACGGUUUUGCUGUCACUUAUAGAUGGAUCCGCGCCGCAUUAGCUAGUUGGUAAGGUAACGGCUUACCAAGGCGACGAUGCGUAGCCGACCUGAGAGGGUGAUCGGCCACACUGGAACUGAGACACGGUCCAGACUCCUACGGGAGGCAGCAGUAGGGAAUCUUCCGCAAUGGGCGAAAGCUUGACGGAGCAACGCCGCGUGAGUGAUGAAGGUCUUCGGAUCGUAAAACUCUGUUAUUAGGGAAGAACAAAUGUGUAAGUAACUAUGCACGUCUUGACGGUACCUAAUCAGAAAGCCACGGCUAACUACGUG